Molecule: long non-coding RNA, 676 nt
Organism: Passer montanus (Eurasian tree sparrow)
Lineage: Eukaryota; Metazoa; Chordata; Aves; Passeriformes; Passeridae
Exons: 3
Source: RefSeq, a predicted model, not a curated record
ACCAAAGAGGCAGCAAUGUUUUAAUUCCCCUCCAAAGCACUUAGAGAGGGAGUCACUGCUGGAGCCCAGGCACAGAUAGGACAGGGAUAUAUUUUCUUCUUACCAAUUCAGCUGUUUUCACCUUCCCUUAGGAGACAGGAUCCCAUUUCCUCUGUCCCCAGGCAGAUUGAGGAAAGCCUGGAGUCAUCCUCUGGCUUCAUGACAAAGGACCUGGCUAGGAAAUGGCUGGGCAAGCCUCAACUUGAUGCCCAGACCUUGUCAGCACGUGACCGUGCAGACUGGGAAGCACAUCUCAUCCCCUGCAUCCAGGCCCAGGGGAUCAGGUGCUAAAAUCAAGGCUUAAUGAGAUGUGGGCUGUGAACUCAACCAAGGUGAAGAAACACUGAUGACAGCCUGUGAGCAUCCCUGAGGGCCUGCAAAACACCUGCAGCAGAAGGAGCUCAUCACCUUUCUACCCACCUCACUCUGCCAGCCCACUUUAUCAAAGAACCAGAAUAAAAAAUAAGUUUCAAAGCCUUAAAAAUUGGGUAAUCUCACUGGUGGGCAACAUGAAAAAAUCCGUGACACCAGCUGAGACAUUUAUUCAGCCUCUCAUCACCUGAUGUCUGACAGCAGUCACCCUUAUAUACUUCCUACAGAGCUGUUGGAGAGAUUUCUUUUCCAAAACAAAAUGUAU